Molecule: ribosomal RNA, 902 nt
Filed under: uncultured archaeon
Lineage: Archaea
Description: bacterial SSU rRNA
Rfam family: Archaeal small subunit ribosomal RNA
Source: RNAcentral
UGAACCGUAGGGAGGUUCAGGAAACAAGAGCUGGGCAAGACCCGGUGCCCAGCCGCCGCGGUAAUACCGGCAGCUUCGAGUGAUGACCGAUUUUAUUGGGCCUAAAGCGUCCGUAGCUGGCCGCGCAAGUCUGUCGGGAAAUCCACCCGCUUAACGGGUGGGCGUCCGGCGGAAACUGUGCGGCUUGGGACAGGAAGGCUCGAGGGGUACGUUCGGGGUAGGAGUGAAAUCCUGUAAUCCUGAACGGACCACCGAUGGCGAAAGCACCUCGAGAGGACUGAUCCGACAGUGAGGGACGAAAGCUGGGGUCUCGAACCGGAUUAGAUACCCGGGUAGUCCCAGCCGUAAACGAUGUUCGCUAGGUGUGUCACUCACUACGAGUGAGUGAUGUGCCGCAGGGAAGCCGCUAAGCGAACCGCCUGGGAAGUACGUCCGCAAGGAUGAAACUUAAAGGAAUUGGCGGGGGAGCACUACAACCGGAGGAGCCUGCGGUUUAAUUGGACUCAACGCCGGUAACCUUACCAGCCCCGACUACGGUGAUGACGGCCAGGUUGAUGACCUCGUCACGACGCCGUAGAGAGGUGGUGCAUGGCCGCCGUCAGCUCGUACCGUGAGGCGUCCUGUUAAGUCAGGCAACGAGCGAGACCCGCACUCUUAAUUGCCAGCAUGUCCCUUGUGGAUGAUGGGUACAUUAGGAGGACUGCCGCCGCCAAGGCGGAGGAAGGAACGGGCAACGGUAGGUCAGUAUGCCCCGAAUGGGCUGGGCAACACGCGGGCUACAAUGGCCGAGACAAUGGGUUCCCACCCCGAGAGGGAGCGGUAAUCUCAGAAACUCGGUCGUAGUUCGGAUUGCGGACUGCAACUCGUCCGCAUGAAGCUGGAUUCGGUAGUAAUCGCAUCCA